GAUGGGUUCUGCUACAAUACAGUUCAUUCUUGGUCUUUUAUUACACCAAGGCUUUCUCCAGCAUUCCGUUUUCGGGUCACUUACAUCAAGCUGGAAACGGAAUACGACCCUGGCUACCGGUUUGAAGCCGGAGAAGAUGGCGAGUGUAGCUUCAAGGUGCGUGCUGCUAGCGAUGUGGACGUAGUAUUAUCUGCCGACGAUGCGCACACUAAACCGGUGCUGGAGAUUGUAAUCGGAGAUCGGAGGAUAAAUCGAAUAGCAAACAACACGAAAUCUCAAGUUCGAUCUGCUGCAGGCGAGAUCUCGAGAAAAACCCACGCCAGCCAUUCUGAGUGCGAAAGAAUACCGUACCUUCAGGAUACAUUGGAAUAAUCAUGCGGGUACGGUUGGUAAGGAGGGUUCUAAGGAACCGAUCAUGACCUAUGGAAUAGACAAGAUUUCCCCGAGCCGUAAGCUGGAAGUCGUUCCUGGAAGCAAGCGGUCCCAUUCCGUCGUCAUGUGGACCGCGAGGACCGCGAGUGCACACUCCGUUACAAAGACUGCACAGCCGUGUCCUUGCGCGGAGGGAUGCGCUAGGCCGACCGAGUGUUGGAUGUAUCGCAGUAGGAUGGCGCUCGCAAGGCCUUCGACCGUUGCGGGGCUACAUUUGGAGUUUAGCGGGGCG
Anopheles aquasalis is the source of this 664-nucleotide long non-coding RNA. RefSeq lists it as uncharacterized. NCBI's taxonomy places the organism in Eukaryota, Metazoa, Arthropoda, Insecta, Diptera, Culicidae. The record is from RefSeq and is a predicted model, not a curated record.